AGUCGAGCGGUAACAGAGAGUAGCUUGCUACUUUGCUGACGAGCGGCGGACGGGUGAGUAACGCGUAGGAAUCUGCCUAGUAGUGGGGGACAACCUGUGGAAACGCAGGCUAAUACCGCAUAAUCCCUGAGGGGGAAAGGAGGGGAUCUUCGGACCUUUCGCUAUCAGAUGAGCCUGCGUGAGAUUAGCUAGUUGGUGGGGUAAAGGCUCACCAAGGCGACGAUCUCUAGCUGGUCUGAGAGGAUGAUCAGCCACACUGGGACUGAGACACGGCCCAGACUCCUACGGGAGGCAGCAGUGGGGAAUAUUGGACAAUGGGCGCAAGCCUGAUCCAGCCAUGCCGCGUGUGUGAAGAAGGCCUUCGGGUUGUAAAGCACUUUCAGCGAGGAGGAAAGGUUGCCGCUUAAUACGCGGUAGCUGUGACGUUACUCGCAGAAGAAGGACCGGCUAACUCCGUGCCAGCAGCCGCGGUAAUACGGAGGGUCCAAGCGUUAAUCGGAAUUACUGGGCGUAAAGCGCGCGUAGGCGGUUAGAUCAGUCAACUGUGAAAGCCCUGGGCUCAACCUGGGAACUGCAGCUGAUACUGUCUAACUAGAGUUUGGUAGAGGAGUGUGGAAUUUCCUGUGUAGCGGUGAAAUGCGUAGAUAUAGGAAGGAAUACCAGUGGCGAAGGCGGCCACCUGGCUUGAUACUGACGCUGAGGUGCGAAAGCGUGGGGAGCGAACAGGAUUAGAUACCCUGGUAGUCCACGCCGUAAACGAUGUCAACUAGCCGUUGGGGGGCUUGGCUUUAGUGGCGCAGCUAACGCGAUAAGUUGACCGCCUGGGGAGUACGGCCGCAAGGUUAAAACUCAAAUGAAUUGACGGGGGCCCGCACAAGCGGUGGAGCAUGUGGUUUAAUUCGAUGCAACGCGAAGAACCUUACCUACUCUUGAAAUCCUGCGAACUUAGUAGAGAUACUUUGGUGCCUUCGGGAACGCAGUGACAGGUGCUGCAUGGCUGUCGUCAGCUCGUGUUGUGAAAUGUUGGGUUAAGUCCCGUAACGAGCGCAACCCCUAUCCUUAGUUGCCAGCGAGUAAUGUCGGGGACUCUAAGGAGACUGCCGGUGACAAACCGGAGGAAGGCGGGGAUGACGUCAAGUCAUCAUGGCCCUUACGAGUAGGGCUACACACGUGCUACAAUGGCCGGUACAGACGGUUGCGAAGCCGCGAGGUGGAGCUAAUCCGAGAAAGCCGGUCGUAGUCCGGAUUGGAGUCUGCAACUCGACUCCAUGAAGUCGGAAUCGCUAGUAAUCGUGAAUCAGAAUGUCACGGUGAAUACGUUCCCGGGCCUUGUACACACCGCCCGUCACACCAUGGGAGUUGAUUGCACCAGAAGUGGGUAGCUUAAAAUUGGGCAGGGCGGUUACCACGGUGUGGAUAA
Molecule: ribosomal RNA, 1420 nt
Filed under: uncultured prokaryote
Description: partial 16S ribosomal RNA
Rfam family: Bacterial small subunit ribosomal RNA
Source: RNAcentral